RNAcentral lists this ribosomal RNA (467 nucleotides) under uncultured Lysobacteraceae bacterium. RNAcentral describes it as "bacterial SSU rRNA". It matches the Rfam family "Bacterial small subunit ribosomal RNA", at positions 337 to 796 of the family's 1533-position model. The record is from RNAcentral. Lineage: Bacteria; Pseudomonadati; Pseudomonadota; Gammaproteobacteria; Lysobacterales; Lysobacteraceae.
UCCUACGGGUGGCUGCAGUGGGGAAUAUUGGACAAUGGGCGCAAGCCUGAUCCAGCAAUGCCGCGUGUGUGAAGAAGGCCUUCGGGUUGUAAAGCACUUUUGUUUGGGAAGAAAUCCGGUUGGUUAAUACCUGAUCGGGAUGACGGUACCAAAAGAAUAAGCACCGGCUAACUUCGUGCCAGCAGCCGCGGUAAUACGAAGGGUGCAAGCGUUAAUCGGAAUUACUGGGCGUAAAGCGUGCGUAGGUGGUUUGUUAAGUCAGAUGUGAAAGCCCUGGGCUCAACCUGGGAACUGCAUUUGAUACUGGCAGGCUAGAGUGCGGUAGAGGGUGGUGGAAUUCCCGGUGUAGCGGUGAAAUGCGUAGAGAUCUGGAGGAACAUUCGUGGCGAAGGCGGCCACCUGGACCAGCACUGACACUGAGGCACGAAAGCGUGGGGAGCAAACAGGAUUAGAUACCCCAGUAGUCC